Molecule: ribosomal RNA, 301 nt
Filed under: uncultured bacterium
Lineage: Bacteria
Description: partial 16S ribosomal RNA
Rfam family: Bacterial small subunit ribosomal RNA
Source: RNAcentral
CAGUCGCCACGGUAAUACGAAGGGUGCAAGCGUUAAUCGGAAUUACUGGGCGUAAAGCGUGCGUAGGCGGUUUGUUAAGUCUGUUGUGAAAUCCCCGGGCUCAACCUGGGAAUGGCAAUGGAUACUGGCAAGCUAGAGUGUGUCAGAGGAUGGUGGAAUUCCCGGUGUAGCGGUGAAAUGCGUAGAGAUCGGGAGGAACAUCAGUGGCGAAGGCGGCCAUCUGGGACAACACUGACGCUGAGGCACGAAAGCGUGGGGAGCAAACAGGAUUAGAUACCCCGUAGUCCCUGUCUCUUAUACA